Molecule: ribosomal RNA, 494 nt
Filed under: uncultured bacterium
Lineage: Bacteria
Description: partial 16S ribosomal RNA
Rfam family: Bacterial small subunit ribosomal RNA
Source: RNAcentral
GACGAACGCUGGCGGCGCGCUUAACACAUGCAAGUCGAACGGAAAGGCCUGCUUUCCCUUGUGGAUUGCGGGUACUCGAGUGGCGAACGGGUGAGUAACACGUGAGUGAUCUGCCCCCAACUUGGGUAUAAGCCUGGGAAACUGGGUCUAAUUCCCGAUAGGACUGCAGGGUGGUGCCUGUGGUGGAAAACGAUUUUCUAGUGGUUGGGGAUGAGCUCGCGGCCUAUCAGCUUGUUGGUGGGGUAAUGGCCUACCAAGGCGGCGACGGGUAGCCGGCCUGAGAGGGUGGACGGCCACAUUGGGACUGAGCUACGGCCCAGACUCCGACGGGAGGCAGCAGUGGGGAAUAGUGCACAAUGGGCGGAAGCCUGAUGCAGCGACGCAGCGUGGGGGAUGACGGCCUUCGGGUUGUAAACUCCUUUCGACCGCGAGGAAGCCACCUGGUUGGAAGGGUGGUGACGGUAGUGGUAGAAGAAGCACCGGCUAACUACGUG